GAUGAACGCUGGCGGCGUGCCUAAUACAUGCAAGUCGAGCGAACGGACGAGAAGCUUGCUUCUCUGAUGUUAGCGGCGGACGGGUGAGUAACACGUGGAUAACCUACCUAUAAGACUGGGAUAACUUCGGGGAACCAGAGCUAAUACCGGAUAAUAUUUUGAACCGCAUGGUUCAAAAGUGAAAGACGGUCUUGCUGUCACUUAUAGAUGGAUCCGCGCUGCAUUAGCUAGUUGGUAAGGUAACGGCUUACCAAGGCAACGAUGCAUAGCCGACCUGAGAGGGUGAUCGGCCACACUGGAACUGAGACACGGUCCAGACUCCUACGGGAGGCAGCAGUAGGGAAUCUUCCGCAAUGGGCGAAAGCCUGACGGAGCAACGCCGCGUGAGUGAUGAAGGUCUUCGGAUCGUAAAACUCUGUUAUUAGGGAAGAACAUAUGUGUAAGUAACUGUGCACAUCUUGACGGUACCUAAUCAGAAAGCUACGGCUAACUACGUG
Molecule: ribosomal RNA, 497 nt
Filed under: uncultured bacterium
Lineage: Bacteria
Description: partial 16S ribosomal RNA
Rfam family: Bacterial small subunit ribosomal RNA
Source: RNAcentral